GGGCGUUAAGUUGCAGGGUAUAGACCCGAAACCCGGUGAUCUAGCCAUGGGCAGGUUGAAGGUUGGGUAACACUAACUGGAGGACCGAACCGACUAAUGUUGAAAAAUUAGCGGAUGACUUGUGGCUGGGGGUGAAAGGCCAAUCAAACCGGGAGAUAGCUGGUUCUCCCCGAAAGCUAUUUAGGUAGCGCCUCGUGAAUUCAUCUCCGGGGGUAGAGCACUGUUUCGGCAAGGGGGUCAUCCCGACUUACCAACCCGAUGCAAACUGCGAAUACCGGAGAAUGUUAUCACGGGAGACACACGGCGGGUGCUAACGUCCGUCGUGAAGAGGGAAACAACCCAGACCGCCAGCUAAGGUCCCAAAGUCAUGGUUAAGUGGGAAACGAUGUGGGAAGGCCCAGACAGCCAGGAUGUUGGCUUAGAAGCAGCCAUCAUUUAAAGAAAGCGUAAUAGCUCACUGGUCGAGUCGGCCUGCGCGGAAGAUGUAACGGGGCUAAACCAUGCACCGAAGCUGCGGCAGCGACGCUUAUGCGUUGUUGGGUAGGGGAGCGUUCUGUAAGCCUGCGAAGGUGUGCUGUGAGGCAUGCUGGAGGUAUCAGAAGUGCGAAUGCUGACAUAAGUAACGAUAAAGCGGGUGAAAAGCCCGCUCGCCGGAAGACCAAGGGUUCCUGUCCAACGUUAAUCGGGGCAGGGUGAGUCGACCCCUAAGGCGAGGCCGAAAGGCGUAGUCGAUGGGAAACAGGUUAAUAUUCCUGUACUUGGUGUUACUGCGAAGGGGGGACGGAGAAGGCUAUGUUGGCCGGGCGACGGUUGUCCCGGUUUAAGCGUGUAGGCUGGUUUUCCAGGCAAAUCCGGAAAAUCAAGGCUGAGGCGUGAUGACGAGGCACUACGGUGCUGAAGCAACAAAUGCCCUGCUUCCAGGAAAAGCCUCUAAGCAUCAGGUAACAUCAAAUCGUACCCCAAACCGACACAGGUGGUCAGGUAGAGAAUACCAAGGCGCUUGAGAGAACUCGGGUGAAGGAACUAGGCAAAAUGGUGCCGUAACUUCGGGAGAAGGCACGCUGAUAUGUAGGUGAAGUCCCUCGCGGAUGGAGCUGAAAUCAGUCGAAGAUACCAGCUGGCUGCAACUGUUUAUUAAAAACACAGCACUGUGCAAACACGAAAGUGGACGUAUACGGUGUGACGCCUGCCCGGUGCCGGAAGGUUAAUUGAUGGGGUUAGCGCAAGCGAAGCUCUUGAUCGAAGCCCCGGUAAACGGCGGCCGUAACUAUAACGGUCCUAAGGUAGCGAAAUUCCUUGUCGGGUAAGUUCCGACCUGCACGAAUGGCGUAAUGAUGGCCAGGCUGUCUCCACCCGAGACUCAGUGAAAUUGAACUCGCUGUGAAGAUGCAGUGUACCCGCGGCAAGACGGAAAGACCCCGUGAACCUUUACUAUAGCUUGACACUGAACAUUGAGCCUUGAUGUGUAGGAUAGGUGGGAGGCUUUGAAGUGUGGACGCCAGUCUGCAUGGAGCCGACCUUGAAAUACCACCCUUUAAUGUUUGAUGUUCUAACGUGGACCCGUAAUCCGGGUUGCGGACAGUGUCUGGUGGGUAGUUUGACUGGGGCGGUCUCCUCCUAAAGAGUAACGGAGGAGCACGAAGGUUGGCUAAUCCUGGUCGGACAUCAGGAGGUUAGUGCAAUGGCAUAAGCCAGCUUGACUGCGAGCGUGACGGCGCGAGCAGGUGCGAAAGCAGGUCAUAGUGAUCCGGUGGUUCUGAAUGGAAGGGCCAUCGCUCAACGGAUAAAAGGUACUCCGGGGAUAACAGGCUGAUACCGCCCAAGAGUUCAUAUCGACGGCGGUGUUUGGCACCUCGAUGUCGGCUCAUCACAUCCUGGGGCUGAAGUAGGUCCCAAGGGUAUGGCUGUUCGCCAUUUAAAGUGGUACGCGAGCUGGGUUUAGAACGUCGUGAGACAGUUCGGUCCCUAUCUGCCGUGGGCGCUGGAGAACUGAGGGGGGCUGCUCCUAGUACGAGAGGACCGGAGUGGACGCAUCACUGGUGUU
RNAcentral lists this ribosomal RNA (2044 nucleotides) under Escherichia coli. RNAcentral describes it as "partial 23S ribosomal RNA". It matches the Rfam family "Bacterial large subunit ribosomal RNA", at positions 690 to 2716 of the family's 2925-position model. The record is from RNAcentral. Lineage: Bacteria; Pseudomonadati; Pseudomonadota; Gammaproteobacteria; Enterobacterales; Enterobacteriaceae.